Megalobrama amblycephala (Wuchang bream) is the source of this 546-nucleotide long non-coding RNA. RefSeq lists it as uncharacterized. Lineage: Eukaryota; Metazoa; Chordata; Actinopteri; Cypriniformes; Xenocyprididae. The record is from RefSeq and is a predicted model, not a curated record. The transcript has 2 exons.
AGUUUACACGCUACAUCAGAAAUUGAAUACUAACCCUACUAUGUAGUAUGUGAUAAACCAUACGCCAAAGUGUCUGAAUACAUAGUUUUCGAAAAAUAGUAGGUGGAUUACCCAGAUGACCUACUACUUCCUGCAAGAUUCUGACGUGUGCAUUCGAUGGACACUUUACUCUUCCAUGAGGAUUUAUGAAUGUUAUUGAAUCAACACAACUAAUGCUGCUCUCCAAUAUCUCUGAUGAUCUGCACGGUGAACACAUCCUCUGGCUGUGAACAGCUGAAAUUCAAACUCGUAUCAUUUCUGAGGAUCACAGAAGAUUGGCACACCUGACUUAUACAAACUUCACACUGUGCGUUUAUGCCAGCACUUGUGUUAAUGUGGAUGAUUGUGCCCUCUUCAACAGCAACGUUGAGCUCUGCACCACCUGAAAUGAUGAAGAGACAAACUUUUAUUAUGCACACAUCAAGAUUUUAGCUUAAAAUGCAUGAGUAUAUAUAUAUAUAUAUAUAUAUAUAUAUAUAUAUAUAUAUAUAUAUAUAUAUAUAUAUA